CCCCACCCUGCGUCUUAAAACAUGAGGGGAGGCGUGGGGAGGCCCAGCAGAACCCGCCUGCUAGUCUGAGAAGCCAGACUGGCUGUUGGUGAAUGGGCGCUCUGGGCUUAAGUCCACCCCCACCCCAAGUUCUCUGUGUGUGUUCUGGGGGACCAGCAGCACUGCGAUGAGGGCAAAGCCGUGGACAUCCCCUACAUGGACAUCGAAGCGCUGAAGAAACUCAACAAGAACAAGAAGCUAGUCAAGAAGCUGGCCAAGAAGUAUUAUGCCUUUUUUGGCUUCAGAGUUGAUCAAGCAGAUCCCCAGAAUCCUGGGUCCAGGCCUGAAUAAGGCUGGCAAGUUUCCUUCCUUGCUGACCCACAAUGAGAACAUGGUGGCCAAAGUUGAUGAAGUAAAGUCUACAAUCAAGUUCCAAAUGAAGGAGGUGCUGUGUCUGGCAGUGGCUGUUGGCCAUGUGAAAAUGACAGAUGACAAGCUUGUGUACAACAUCCACUUAGCUGUUAAUUUCCUGGUGUCAUUGCUCAAGAAGAAUUGGCAGAACGUGCGGGCUUUAUACAUCAAGAGCACCGUGGACAAGCCCCAGCGUCUGUACUAAAUGACAAUUUAGUAAAAGCCAGU
RNA transcript from Erinaceus europaeus (western European hedgehog), 618 nucleotides. It is a transcript of the gene named large ribosomal subunit protein uL1-like, with no coding region annotated. The record is from RefSeq and is a predicted model, not a curated record. Lineage: Eukaryota; Metazoa; Chordata; Mammalia; Eulipotyphla; Erinaceidae. The transcript has a single exon.